UCGGAAUCGCUAGUAAUCGCGGAUCAGCAUGCCGCGGUGAAUACGUUCCCGGGCCUUGUACACACCGCCCGUCACACCAUGAGAGUUUGUAACACCCAAAGCCGGUGGGGUAACCUUUUGGAGCCAGCCGUCUAAGGUGGGACAGAUGAUUGGGGUGAAGUCGUAACAAGGUAAC
Molecule: ribosomal RNA, 175 nt
Filed under: uncultured bacterium
Lineage: Bacteria
Description: partial 16S ribosomal RNA
Rfam family: Bacterial small subunit ribosomal RNA
Source: RNAcentral